GGAUUGUGGCUCAGUGGUAGAGCACUUGCUUAGUACCUAUGAGGCACUGAGUUCAACCCCAGCACCA
This 67-nucleotide transfer RNA is filed under the name Marmota monax (woodchuck). Its description in RNAcentral is "tRNA.Thr". The record is from RNAcentral. Lineage: Eukaryota; Metazoa; Chordata; Mammalia; Rodentia; Sciuridae.